GGAGUUAUGGCUUAGUGGUAGAGCACUCGCCUUGCACAUGUGAGGCACUGGGUUCGAUCCUCAGUACCA
This 69-nucleotide transfer RNA is filed under the name Ictidomys tridecemlineatus (thirteen-lined ground squirrel). Its description in RNAcentral is "Spermophilus tridecemlineatus (thirteen-lined ground squirrel) tRNA". It matches the Rfam family "tRNA". From Rfam's summary of the family: Transfer RNA (tRNA) molecules are approximately 80 nucleotides in length. Their secondary structure includes four short double-helical elements and three loops (D, anti-codon, and T loops). The record is from Rfam by way of RNAcentral. Lineage: Eukaryota; Metazoa; Chordata; Mammalia; Rodentia; Sciuridae.